This 305-nucleotide ribosomal RNA is filed under the name uncultured bacterium. Its description in RNAcentral is "bacterial SSU rRNA". It matches the Rfam family "Bacterial small subunit ribosomal RNA", at positions 337 to 659 of the family's 1533-position model. The record is from RNAcentral.
GCCUACGGGGCGCAGCAGUGGGGAAUAUUGCACAAUGGGGGAAACCCUGAUGCAGCGACGCCGCGUGAGUGAAGAAGUAUCUCGGUAUGUAAAGCUCUAUCAGCAGGAAAGAUAAUGACGGUACCUGACUAAGAAGCCCCGGCUAACUACGUGCCAGCAGCCGCGGUAAUACGUAGGGGGCAAGCGUUAUCCGGAUUUACUGGGUGUAAAGGGAGCGUAGACGGUAGCGCAAGUCUGGAGUGAAAUGCCGGGGCUCAACCCCGGAACUGCUUUGGAAACUGUGCGGCUCGAGUGCGGGAGAGGUA